GGACAGGUGGCCGAGUGGUUAUGGCGCUACGUUUAGGCAAAUGUAGAGCUUUCCUCCUUUGAAUACCGUAGUUCGAAAGAGCGUGGGUUCGAAUCCCACCCUGUUCA
This 107-nucleotide transfer RNA is filed under the name Alectoria sarmentosa. RNAcentral describes it as "tRNA-Leu". It matches the Rfam family "tRNA". From Rfam's summary of the family: Transfer RNA (tRNA) molecules are approximately 80 nucleotides in length. Their secondary structure includes four short double-helical elements and three loops (D, anti-codon, and T loops). Lineage: Eukaryota; Fungi; Ascomycota; Lecanoromycetes; Lecanorales; Parmeliaceae. The record is from RNAcentral.